Molecule: ribosomal RNA, 469 nt
Filed under: uncultured Anaerolineaceae bacterium
Lineage: Bacteria; Bacillati; Chloroflexota; Anaerolineae; Anaerolineales; Anaerolineaceae
Description: bacterial SSU rRNA
Rfam family: Bacterial small subunit ribosomal RNA
Source: RNAcentral
UCAAAUGAAUUGACGGGGACCCGCACAAGCAGCGGAGCGUGUGGUUUAAUUCGUUGCUACACGAAGAACCUUACCUGGGUUUGACAUAUAGGUUGUAGGGAACUGAAAAGGGACCGACCCUUCGGGGAGCCUAUACAGGUGUUGCAUGGCUGUCGUCAGCUCAUGUCGUGAGAUGUUCGGUUAAGUCCGCUAACGAGCGCAACCCUCGCUGUGUGUUACAAGUGUCACACGGAACUGCCGGUCAUAAACCGGAGGAAGGUGGGAUGACGUCAAGUCAGCAUGGCCUUUAUAUCCUGGGCUACACACACGCUACAAUGGGAAGGGACAAUAGGUUGCGAAGCCGCGAGGCGGAGCCAAUCCAGCAAAACUUCCCUCAGUUCAGAUUGCAGGCUGCAACCCGCCUGCAUGAAGUUGGAGUUGCUAGUAAACGCAGGUCAGCCAUACUGCGUUGAAUACGUUCCCGGGGCUU